GACGUAGGGCGCGAGCGUUGUCCGGAUUUAUUGGGCGUAAAGAGCUCGUAGGCGGCUUGUUGCGUCAGCUGUGAAAACCCGGAGCUCAACUCCGGGCCUGCAGUCGAUACGGGCAGACUGGAGUUCGGCAGGGGAGACUGGAAUUCCUGGUGUAGCGGUGAAAUGCGCAGAUAUCAGGAGGAACACCGGUGGCGAAGGCGGGUCUCUGGGCCGAUACUGACGCUGAGGAGCGAAAGCGUGGGGAGCGAACAGG
RNAcentral lists this ribosomal RNA (253 nucleotides) under uncultured bacterium. RNAcentral's name for it is "partial 16S ribosomal RNA". It matches the Rfam family "Bacterial small subunit ribosomal RNA", at positions 524 to 776 of the family's 1533-position model. The record is from RNAcentral.